This 214-nucleotide unclassified non-coding RNA is filed under the name Hevea brasiliensis (rubber tree). The record is from RNAcentral. Lineage: Eukaryota; Viridiplantae; Streptophyta; Magnoliopsida; Malpighiales; Euphorbiaceae.
UAGAUCUCUUGCUCCUAUCAUGUAACAUUUCCUGCCGCUUUCUUUCUCCAACACAAAACUCGAAUUUCCAGAGCCGAUCAAAAGCAGAUGAUCGCAGAGAUGGAAGUAGAGAGCCUUCUUGGACAAGGAAUUCAGAACUGAAGUCGAAGAUGGAGAAGAAGCCUGAGAAAUAAUCUGCCGGUAAUCGGACGGCAGAAAAUUAGUCCACAGAGCG